ACUUCUUAGAGGGACAGAGGGUGUCUAGCCCUACGAGAUUGAGCAAUAACAGGUCUGUGAUGCCCUUAGAUGUUCGGGGCUGCACGCGCGCUACACUGAAGGAAUCAACGAGCAUGAAAACCUUGUCCGGAAGGACUGGGUAAACCGUUGAAACUCCUUCGUGCUUGGGAUAGGGACUUGCAAUUAUUUCCCUUGAACGAGGAAUUCCUAGUAAGUGUGGGUCAUCAUCUCGCGUUGAUUACGUCCCUGCCCUUUGUACUGAGCG
This 265-nucleotide ribosomal RNA is filed under the name Halomonhystera disjuncta. RNAcentral describes it as "partial small subunit ribosomal RNA". It matches the Rfam family "Eukaryotic small subunit ribosomal RNA", at positions 1406 to 1665 of the family's 1831-position model. The record is from RNAcentral. RNAcentral also lists the same sequence under 34 other names. Lineage: Eukaryota; Metazoa; Nematoda; Chromadorea; Monhysterida; Monhysteridae.